CUACGUUGUUCCCCUUGUGCUGAGGUGUGACCUUGAAAGUGAAGCUGCUGUACGGUGGUGAGAACUUUUGGUAUUUCCUGAACGAAAUCUUCUGGAGGGAGUCCAAGAUUCAGCUGCCAAAUUUAAAUUCCAGUGUUUGUGGGCUGACAUGUGUUCCCUGAACAGAGCUUCUGCCAUCAUCCUGAGACUCUUGAGACUGAGGGGAUAAUUUGGUUCAAAACAUUUAUGAGAACUUGCCAACUGAUGCUUUUGAACUGUGGUGUUGGAGAAGACUCUCGAGAUUUCCUUGGACUGCAAGGAGAUCCAACCAGUCCAUCCUAAAGGAAAUCAGUCCUGAAUGUUCAUUGGAAAGACUGAUGCUGAAGCUGAAACUCCAAUACUUUGGCCACCUGAUUUGAAGAACCGACUCCUUGGAAAAGACCCUGAUGCUGGGAAAGAUUAAAGGCAGGAGGAGAAGGGGAGGACAGAGGAUGAGAUGGUUGGAUGGCAUCACCGACUCGACGGACAUGAGUUUGAGUAAACUCUGGGAGUUGGUGAUGGACAGGGAAGCCUGGUGUGCUGCAGUCCAUGGGGUCACAAAGAGUCGGACAUGACUGAGUGACUGAACUGAACUGAACUGAACUGCCAGGCCUUAGGAGAUCCAAGGACUCCGAAGGCACUGUUGAUUUUGUGCUUCCAAGUCUUGACAAUUUCCAUUUUGGCCACUGGGUGGCAGUGUGUCCCACAAAAUGUUAUUCACAGGUCUGGUGUGUGUCUCCUCCUCAAGCCUAAGGCUCAGAGAUUGUAGCUCCUCACUUGGAUUUGUUUAACGCACAUUUUCACAUUGAAUUGACAGCUCGUGUUAUAGCCGUGUGUGCAUAUAUGUAUUUAAUUAUACUGUGGAAUUAAAUUCAAAAGGGUG
This 901-nucleotide long non-coding RNA is filed under the name Bos indicus x Bos taurus (hybrid cattle). Its description in RNAcentral is "lncRNA (ENSBIXG00005017921.1)". The record is from RNAcentral. Lineage: Eukaryota; Metazoa; Chordata; Mammalia; Artiodactyla; Bovidae.